RNAcentral lists this long non-coding RNA (206 nucleotides) under Carica papaya (papaya). RNAcentral's name for it is "long non-coding RNA (CPAP_LNC002464)". Lineage: Eukaryota; Viridiplantae; Streptophyta; Magnoliopsida; Brassicales; Caricaceae. The record is from RNAcentral.
GGCCGUGUUUUCCGGCCGUUUGGCCGGGAUUUUGGCUCCGAUUUGGCCACAGGGGAACUCAGCGUGGAAAAACGAGUCGGGGGUAUGAAAUUUACCUCGAUCGGCGGUCGGAAAACUCCCCGGUGCGGCGGCGGGUGGCGGCGGCCGGCUCCUCCGGCGUCUGGUUCGUCUUCUCCGGCGAGGGCAGGCGGCUAGGGUUUUUGUGG